UUUGUAUAUAUGUACUUUGAGAUAUAUUUAUACAUGGCUACUUGCAUGGAACCACUUCAUAUUGUUCGGAACAUUGUUUGUAAAUAAAGAUGAAUAGAUGUGAACUAUUGGAGAAUAAAUCAGUUAUGACUCUCACUCUAAUUGGUACUUGGUAGUUAGGUAUUGCAGAAAAUUCUAUAUAGCUGUGAUACCAUGUAAAAAAUCUAACUAAGACC
RNAcentral lists this long non-coding RNA (215 nucleotides) under Elaeis guineensis (African oil palm). RNAcentral describes it as "long non-coding RNA (EGUI_LNC017636)". The record is from RNAcentral. Lineage: Eukaryota; Viridiplantae; Streptophyta; Magnoliopsida; Arecales; Arecaceae.